This is a long non-coding RNA of Hipposideros armiger (great roundleaf bat), 1642 nucleotides long. RefSeq lists it as uncharacterized. The record is from RefSeq and is a predicted model, not a curated record. The transcript has 2 exons. NCBI's taxonomy places the organism in Eukaryota, Metazoa, Chordata, Mammalia, Chiroptera, Hipposideridae.
UCAAGAUGUACAACAUGUUCACAGCCCUGGAGGCUACCUCUUGCCCCCUCCUGGUCUGCGUUCCACAGAAAAAGCCAGGUCGCUCGCUUCCAUCGCCCUAGAUGAGUGUUGCCAGCAUCUGAACUUGCUAUGAAUGAAGGGAUACAGUAUGAUCAGGCUCUGUUUUCCUAUCUGCUUUUCGUGAGCCAGGAGUCAACACGUGAAUGCCAACAAUUGGAAUCUGGGUGUGAAAGCGUGCUGGCAGGUGGCAUCCCCUGCAAAACGUGGGUUCUGGGGUUUGACGUGCACAGUUAAUGUCUCCUUAAAGGAGUUGUCUUGAGCAGAAUGAUUUUCACCUUCUUUGCUGAGAGCACCCCAUCUUAAGAGCCGCCCUCGGUCUGACAGCGGAAUCUUUUCUCUCCAAGCUGCAUGAGUCAGACCUAGAGCCUUGCAUUGUGUGCUGUUCUGGUCACGACGCUGUGCCCACCUCCUCCGAGAAGACUGCCGUGCCAGCCUGGCCCACUGCCAGUGUCUGGAAACCAUUGGGCUGCACCUGUGGGGUCUUGCUCUCUCUUCACAUCUAACCUCCCUCCCCCGACUAGCAUCAGCAGCCUGCACUGUGUCUCCUGGGUUCCUGGGGUCACUUGAAAUAUCUACAAGACACCAAGCCACCUCACAUUCUCCUCGGGGAGACGGAGUCUGCUUCCUCUCCCCGACAUGCAGCAGGCAGAGGACAUGGGGUUGGAGAAAGAGCUGGGAACGGGCUUUGGAGCCAGAGACCUGGGUGCAAAUGCUGGCUCGUGUCCCAGACCGGUAAGCUUGCCUCAUCUCCUCACCUCCCACAAGGGAAGUAGUACCCAUGCUGUGUUGGAAGGAUGAAACGAACUAUGCAAAGUGCCAGCACGUAAGAGAUUCUCAGAAGUGACAGCUACUGUCACAGCCCAACGUUGAAGAGGAUGGAACCUGAAGCUUAACUGCCUGGGUUUGAAUUCUGACGUCACCACUUGUUAGCUCUGAGGCCUUGGGCAAGUUACUGAACCCCUCUGUGCCUCAGUUUCCCCAUCUCCACAAUAGAAGUAGUGAUAGUACCUACUUUACAGGUGGCUAAGAAUGAACUUAACCAAUAUCUAUAAAGUGCUUGGGACAGUUCUUGGCAUACAGUAAAGGCCAGGGCUGCUAACAGCUAAACGUAACAUUAAUGAGCACCUGGCAACAAGGACAUGGAAGCUGAGACCUCGGCAUCGCCUGGCAUUUGAAGGGUCAGCUGUCUCGGUUGACGCAAAGAGCGAGGGAUUGUCACAGAAUUGGUACAAGUGACAAUGGAAAUUGCGUUUCCUCCAGUAUCACCAUGCAAAGAUUAUUUUGUAAAGAAUUUACACAGAUGGAAUUGGCAAUGGAAAAACUUUGAGAGAGAAGAACCCUGUACGUUAAAGCGUUUGAGGAUUUGGGGGUGCAACGAAGCAUGCUUAAACUUGCCACAGAGAGAUUUUCCAGGAAAAAUCAAGCAAGCAUCUUCUGUUCAAACGUCACUGGGUUCAUAUUUUAAGAAACCUUAAGCAGUCUGGCUUCGGCAGAACAAUUCCCCCGAAGGAACCUUCCAUGACACAGCUUUUAUGUUAAGUGCUUUGUUUUACAUAUGUGAUAAAAGUUGGUUAAGACCAUC